Anopheles arabiensis is the source of this 4713-nucleotide RNA transcript. It is a transcript of the gene named ovochymase-2-like, with no coding region annotated. The record is from RefSeq and is a predicted model, not a curated record. Lineage: Eukaryota; Metazoa; Arthropoda; Insecta; Diptera; Culicidae. The transcript is spliced from 6 exons.
AGUGGAGUAGUGAAAACGCAACAUCUUCACCGGUGGAGCAAUGGCACGGGAGUUGCUAGGUCUGUUGAUACUGUUCAGUGUGCUGUUGCUGUACGUGACCGCUCAAUCGCUCGGUCCGAAUCGUUUAACGUGCGGCAAGCGAAGAGUCAAGACGAUCCAUCUCGUUCAUAAUGGAAUCGACGCAAAGCCGGGUCACUGGCCGUGGCAUGCGGCAAUCUUUCACCGCAAGGGCGAUCAGUUGGAUUACGCGUGUGGAGGAUCCAUCAUUGACGAGAACACCAUUCUCACGGCGGCUCAUUGCGUUUUCCUUGUGAAUGGGCUACUGCCCGUGAGCCAGAUUUCGGUACACCUGGGUCGGGUUCAUCUGAAGGAGGUGAGCGAGUUCGUGCAGGAGCACACGGUGCAGGAAUUGAUAGUGCAUCCCGGAUACAAUUCGAGUAGAUUCGUGAACGAUAUCGCACUGAUCAAGCUGGCGGGGAGCAUCACGAUGAGCGAGUUCGUGCAGCCCGUUUGUCUGUGGACGAUGGAUAAAAACCAGGAGCUGAUUGUGGGCAAAACCGGUACCCUGGUGGGCUUUGGUCUGAAUGAGCAGGACGUCGUGUCGGAGCAGCUGAAGCAAGCGUCGAUCGGUGUGGUGGACGCGCUGACGUGCAUCAAGAGUGAUCGUUUGUCGUUCGCCAAUCAGCUUACGGCGGAGAUGUUCUGUGGCGGCGGCCAGUCGAACGUGAGUGCUUGUAAUGGGGACAGUGGUGGGGGUUUGUUCUUCAAUGUAGAGGGCAAAUGGUUUGUGCGGGGCGUGGUAUCGUUCAUUCCGGUCCGCCAGCGGACGGGACUGUGCGAUCCGUCCAAGUACACGGCCUAUGCCGAUGUGGCCAAGUAUUUGGGAUGGAUCGAUCAAUACAUCGAUCGGCGCGUGCUCGUGUUCGAUACCGACGAGCUGGAGGUGGAUUACGAGGAGAAGCUUCCACUGUUCAAUCUGAACACUUGUGGUACGAAGAACGAGACGGUGCUGGCCUCUGGACAACCGGCUCCCCUGCCUUGGCUUGGGUUUGUUCUGACGAAGGAGAAUAAGGUCAAAUGUGUUGUUACACUCAUCAGCGAAUGGUACGUGGUGGGUACGGCAAGCUGUUUUGAAAAGAAUGAGAAAGAUUUACGGAUAUUGUUUGGCGGUUUUGACGAUUUGCAUGAGCAAAAGUGCUUCGAGCGUAAUGGCACAACGAUAUGCGCGUAUCCAACGCAAUCUCGCUCGAUCGGAAGAGUAGUGGCCCAUCCCAGGUUUAGCAAAAACACGAUCAACGACAAUAUAGCACUGAUUGAGCUGCAAAGUCCCGCCGACACGACGCAACCUCACGUGAAGCCCAUCUGUUUACCUGUAACGCCAACGCUUUACACCAAUAGAACGGAGAACUUUUCCGUCCUGGCGUUCAGGUUGACCACCGGGACAAUCGUUGAUCAGUCGGUGAACCAUGUAGAUCCGGACUUUUGUAAAUCCGUACACAUCGUUGCUGGAUUUGCGAUCGAUAAUGAGGAGAAGAGCUUCUGUGUGUCAGUUCCCGAGGAGGAUGUUACAAACUGCGACAGUUUGCUCGGGCAGGGUACUCCACUACAGGAGCAUAUGAGUAUGGUCAAUGCUGGCGAGCGUUACGUACUGCGUGGAUUCGACCUGCUCGGGCUUACUUGCGCCGGAGACAGCUCCAUACCGGUUUUGUACGUGAAUGUGUACUCCUACCUCGACUGGAUGUUGUACAACAUGCGAUACAACGAAGCGGUAAACGAGGACGAGCAGGAACUGAUCGCAAAUGCAACGCUCGCAAAGUGGAAAGAGCGUCAGCAGGCUGUCGGUAGUGAAAAGCUAAAGCUCUUCAACAUGGAAUCCUGUGGCCAGAAUGUGGUCGAACCGAGGGGUACCGGUUCGAUCACACUCAUUCCGUGGAUCGGAACGCUGAAAACCGUGGAAAAUCCCGUCAAGCAAAACACGGUGCCAGAUGGUUUGGUUGUUUUGAUCAACGAACGUUACGCGCUGACGUCGGCAAACGUGUUUCGUCCUGAUGUACAAUGGCGAUCGAUUGUGCUAGGGUUCAAUCACUACAAUCCAGUUCUGGAGAUUGCAUGCACAUUUGGAGUGUGCGAUCGUCCGUACCAGGCGGUGGAGAUCAAGCAGAUCACCAUCCAUCCACAGUAUAAUGGCACAUAUAACAUCCACAACAUCGCACUGAUCGAGCUGGUAGAACCGGCCAACGUUACCAAGCGUUACAUCAGCCCGAUCUGUAUGCCACUGAUAGAGGAGUUUCGAAACAGUACGCCCUUCGAACUGGUAGUGCCAUCGUACAUUUACCACGAGCAAAGCACCCAGCUUGAGCCACUGGAUCCGCUCAACUGUCAGGAACGAUUUGCGCAACAGAACGCCGCCAUUACCUUGAACAAUCGGUCACGUUGUGCUGUUGCGCUGGACAAAGACGCAAAGGAGCCGGCGGCGUUAAAGGCAGGCGCUCCGCUACAAACGUUACUGCGGGUUGGAAGCGAGAAGCGCUAUUUUCUAAGCGGAAUGAACAGUUUUACGGAUCUCGUUAACUACCACAAUCCAGGCUAUCCGUAUCUGUUUACCGAUACCAAUGCGUACGUGGACUGGAUGCUGGAAAACAUGCAGCUUGAUAGCACUGUAUCCCCGGAUUCCUAUGUGGAGCAGGUGGAUCCUCCUGCGACUCGAAACACUUCCAGAAGAAGGCUGUUCAAUUUUAAAACUUGCGGGGCUCAUACCAAGGGAUCCAGCGCGAACGCAACGUACGAGACGGAGCCGUGGCAUGGAUUUGUGUACGAAUGGAUUGAGGCGUAUAAUUCGACCCUUUUUACCAGAUGUACCGUUGUGCUGGUGAGUGAAUGGUACGCGAUUGGUGUUGCGAGCUGCCUGAAACAAGAUGCCAAGCUUUGGGUGCAGUUCGGUGGCUACGUUGAGUCAGAUUCAGGCGAUAAUUGUUGGGACGCUGAUGGUACGACGUUAUGCCGGCCUAAGACGCACCGGAUUGCAGUGGAGAGGAUCAUCGUUCAUCCACAAUACAACAGAACCGGAUACACGGACGACAUAGCGCUGGUUCAGCUAGCAACUCCAGCAGACGUAUCGCAACCUCACGUGCAACCGAUCUGCCUGCCGAUUCUUGACGAAGUUCGCAGUUACGCUGUGUCCAGCAUGGCGACGGUCACUUUUGGCUUAGCGCAUGGUUCGUUCAUCACGAGCAAGGUGGAUCGCACCCGGUUUGUCCCGCCUGCCGAAUGUCAACGGCGCUGGAAUGGAAUGGCGUUACGUUUACAGAUCGAGCGCACGAAACAAUGCAACCUGAUGGUCCGAGAUUCACAAAACGAAUGCUACCCUGUUAUGCCGGGCUUUCCAUUGCACACGACACAAGAAUUGCUCGGAGAGCAGCGUCACUUUUUACGAGGGUUAUUCUCGCUGCGACCAGAGCUGUGUAGCAGUUACUAUCCUGCUAUCUAUACCGAUGUGGAUGUGUAUCUGGACUGGAUACUGGAUAGCAUGGAUGAGCGACUAGGGACCUCCAAACUGCCUUAUAACUUGACAGAACACUUAAUUUUCAUUCAAAAGUAGCAGAGAAGUAUCGCCCAGCACGCUUCAUUCCCAGCACAGAGCAUGACAAGGUGGCUUUUGCCUGCCGAUAAGGAUUAGAUGUCAAACCAUUUUCGAUGAAAUAUUGUACGGCCCCCGUCCCGGGUUCAGUUGGCCAUUGGAUCAGCUUUGUCCACUCGAUUGCCUCCGAAUAGCUGUUGAAGGAAGCCAACAAACCGUAAGCGGACGAUGCACAAAAGGUUCUGCAACAACUGCAACGACAGCGUGCCAUCGAAGCGGAAGGAAGCCCAUUUGCUCUCGGAAUAGCCUCAAUGACAUUCCGGACGGUAGCGAGCGGGCAAAGAUUGCAGUCGAUACGGAGAGAAAGCAAGCAUGGCAGAAUGGGACCACUUCCACUACAAGUCAGCUGCCGGCUAAAAACUGUCCAGACUGCACCGACACCACAAGUGCGCCGAUAGAUAAUACCCGGUCGAUAAGGUGCCGGUGCCAAAGUUGCCACUUCCUGUCACUGCCAGUGCCGCCACAGGUUCGAGCAAACUGCAAGAGAGUGAGCUUUUCCUGUCGAUCGGGGGGUGGAGCGAUUAUGGACACGGUUGAAGCGUAAAUAAAGUGGCCUGAUGGCUUCCCGGUCAGUCGUUUGGUCACCGGAAGUCGUUUCUGCCACUCGAUCGAUUUCCCCAUGCAAUGGUGGUAAACGAUUGCACCGAUGCUUUGUGUUUUCGUUUCCUUCCCGUCCUGUGCCAAUGCCGAGGAGCCUUGGCUGAACAAACACACGAGUCCGAGCAGAAGCGUUCUUGGUAGCGUGUCUCGCAAUAGCUGGGAAGGAGCGGAAAGGCCGUUCAUGUUCGCUCCGUACGAUGCACUUGAUUGCAAAAACGGGUACUGAAACAUUGUAGUGCAAAGUAAGGCUAUGUAGUAAGGGAAAGAUAGAGAAAAAAAACACUUUCUAGCUGGUUCUCUACAACUAUAGAUGUGAUUGUAGCUGAAGGAGAUUACAGAAUAAUGUGAUAGGUGAUAAUAUAUGACAUUAAGCUUCGAUCCUUCUGUGUGGCUUGAGGUAUGAAAGCAUUUUGAUAUCGUAAAAAAGUAGUUUUUGGAAAUUUAGAAAUGUUUUACAAUAGGAUGAGCACUACGUU